This 250-nucleotide long non-coding RNA is filed under the name Panax ginseng (ginseng). Its description in RNAcentral is "long non-coding RNA (PGIN_LNC011384)". Lineage: Eukaryota; Viridiplantae; Streptophyta; Magnoliopsida; Apiales; Araliaceae. The record is from RNAcentral.
UCAUAUUAUUUAUUUUGAAAGAUUAUUUUUGGUAAUGUAAAAUAUUUCAUUUUCCUAUCAUUUUCCAUCCCUUCAAAUCCUCCCACUUUUGAGAGGGAAAUUUUGAGCCAAAAAUAAAAUUAAUUUUACCUCCAAAUCCCUUCCUUCCCCCUAAAAAAACUCACAUGAGAUUUGAAGAGAUUUUAAUUAUUUUUCCUUCCCUUUCUCAAAUAAAAACUUAAGGUUUUAAAUUUCCCCGAGAAGCUUUACG